This is a long non-coding RNA of Malus domestica (apple), 580 nucleotides long. RefSeq lists it as uncharacterized. The record is from RefSeq and is a predicted model, not a curated record. NCBI's taxonomy places the organism in Eukaryota, Viridiplantae, Streptophyta, Magnoliopsida, Rosales, Rosaceae.
GUUGAAUAAAAAAAUUAGACCAGUUAUAUUAUCUCUUCCCCCAUCUUCUUACCGACGACCAAGGUACCCACCCUUCGCCAUCUUCUCAUCGACGCCCCGGCGUCCCUCCAUCUCCUCCUCUUCCUUCGUCUCCCUUUGCUCCUACAUCCUUCUCAAUUUUAGCCCAAACAAUUGCUCUCUCCAACUAAAAUCAAUGACACCGACUCCAAUUUGAAGGCCUACAUACCUGACUAUAUGAAUCCCUACUGGAUCCAUUACAGAGCGGAACUUACAAUUGUUGACCUUCAUCGCCAGAUUCAAGGUGGUACAGAUUAUGUAAAGCAUGGUGGCCAAGUAGGAAAUGUGAUGAAUACUGAUUUGGAACCUGAAGAUUAAAAGCUUGAACUGGGAAACCUUGCUUUGAAGAAUAAGUCUGGAUGAAAAGAACGGGGAAAAGAUUGGAAGAAAUCAAGAGCCACACGGAAAAACAGUGAAGAAUUCUAGAUUUAUUAACCGAACAGUCGGUCUGAUUAUUUUGGUUUUUUUUUACUUUUAAAUAUUAAAUAAAAAGUUAACAGAGUUAUAUCUAUGUUAAGUUAAA